CCAGACUCCUACGGGAGGCAGCAGUGGGGAAUAUUGGACAAUGGGGGGAACCCUGAUCCAGCGACGCCGCGUGAGUGAAGAAGUAUUUCGGUAUGUAAAGCUCUAUCAGCAGGGAAGAAAGAAAUGACGGUACCUGACUAAGAAGCCCCGGCUAACUACGUGCCAGCAGCCGCGGUAAUACGUAGGGAGCGAGCGUUAUCCGGAAUUAUUGGGUGUAAAGGGUGCGUAGACGGGAACUUAAGUUAGUUGUGAAAUCCCUUAGCUCAACUAAGGAAUGGCAACUGAAACUGGGUUUCUUGAGUGCAGGAGAGGAAAGUGGAAUUCCUAGUGUAGCGGUGGAAUGCGUAGAUAUUAGGAGGAACACCGGUGGCGAAGGCGACUUUCUGGACUGUAACUGACGUUGAGGCACGAAAGUGUGGGGAGCAAACAGGAUUAGAUACCCCGGUAU
RNAcentral lists this ribosomal RNA (448 nucleotides) under uncultured bacterium. Its description in RNAcentral is "bacterial SSU rRNA". It matches the Rfam family "Bacterial small subunit ribosomal RNA", at positions 331 to 793 of the family's 1533-position model. The record is from RNAcentral.